RNAcentral lists this long non-coding RNA (591 nucleotides) under Monodelphis domestica (gray short-tailed opossum). RNAcentral describes it as "lncRNA (ENSMODG00000038511.1)". The record is from RNAcentral. Lineage: Eukaryota; Metazoa; Chordata; Mammalia; Didelphimorphia; Didelphidae.
CUUCCACUCAGAGCUCUAGGUUCUACCAUCUGAAGCCAAUGCAGAAGAUUAAUUCUUCCAUGUGACUAACCUUCAAAUACCUGAAAGCAUCAAUGGAAGCUUUCAUUUCUUAGAGAAAAAAUGACUAUUGAUCCAGUUGACCUGUUGCUAUUCCUCUGUACAAGCCGAAUGUCUCAUUCCAAGGAGAGACAACACAUUGUGACUAUAAACAAUUUGAUGGCAAAGCCCAAUGGGUCACAGAAUUCAAACAUGGCAAGUAAAAAUUGGAUCAGAGAAAAUGUUUGCUGUUGUAUUUUAGAGAUAGAUGGGACCUUCAGCAUUAUACAGUGUGUGUAGAGAAAGUAAGUAAUGUGUCAGUAGGAAUGUAGGUCUUUGUGUUGCUUAUAUAUGCUCUGAGGCAGCUAUCCUACUGACAGGGAUGAGUUGAAAGAAAAUUGAGGGAAUUGAGAGGAUUAAGUUAGCAAGUAGUUAAUUGUAGGAAUUGGGUGAACCAUAACUACUUCCAUCUUGUAACUCAGUUCUGGAGUUAAGUUCCUUUUCUAUUCAAUUAUGGUCCAAAUUCUAUCCUGUGAGAAAAGUUUAUACAAUUGC